Molecule: ribosomal RNA, 454 nt
Filed under: uncultured organism
Description: bacterial SSU rRNA
Rfam family: Bacterial small subunit ribosomal RNA
Source: RNAcentral
GCGCAGCAGUCGCGAAUUUUUCUCAAUGGGGGCAACCCUGAAGGAGCGACGCCGCGUGGAGGAUGAAGGCUUUCGGGUUGUAAACUCCUGUCAUUUGAGAACAAGUGUGGGCAAGUAACUACUGCCUACUUGAUAGUAUCAGAAGAGGAAGAGACGGCUAACUCUGUGCCAGCAGCCGCGGUAAUACAGAGGUCUCAAGCGUUGUUCGGAUUCAUUGGGCGUAAAGGGUGCGUAGGUGGCGCGCUAAGUCGGGUGUGAAAUCUCGGGGCUUAACUCCGAAACUGCAUUUGAUACUGGCGUGCUUGAGGACUGGAGAGGAGACUGGAAUUCACGGUGUAGCAGUGAAAUGCGUAGAGAUCAUGAGGAAGACCAGUGGCGAAGGCGGGUCUCUGGACAGUUCCUGACACUGAGGCACGAAGGCCAGGGGAGCAAACGGGAUUAGAUAUCCUGUAGU